UNUGACUUGAGUGCAGAAGGGGAGAGUGGAAUUCCAUGUGUAGCGGUGAAAUGCGUAGAUAUAUGGAGGAACACCAGUGGCGAAAGCGGCUCUCUGGUCUGUCACUGACGCUGAGGCUCGAAAGCGUGGGUAGCGAACAGGAUUAGAUACCCUGGUAGUCCACGCCGUAAACGAUGAGUGCUAGGUGUUAGGCCCUUUCCGGGGCUUAGUGCCGGAGCUAACGCAAUAAGCACUCCGCCUGGGGAGUACGACCGCAAGGUUGAAACUCAAAGGAAUUGACGGGGGCCCGCACAAGCGGUGGAGCAUGUGGUUUAAUUCGAAGCAACGCGAAGAACCUUACCAGGUCUUGACAUCCCGAUGCUAUUCUUAGAGAUAGGAAGUUACUUCGGUACAUCGGAGACAGGUGGUGCAUGGUUGUCGUCAGCUCGUGUCGUGAGAUGUUGGGUUAAGUCCCGCAACGAGCGCAACCCUUAUUGUUAGUUGCCAUCAUUAAGUUGGGCACUCCAGCGAGACUGCCGGUAAUAAACCGGAGGAAGGUGGGGAUGACGUCAAAUCAUCAUGCCCCUUAUGACCUGGGCUACACACGUGCUACAAUGGUCGGUACAACGAGUUGCGAGCCGGUGACGGCAAGCUAAUCUCUGAAAGCCGAUCUCAGUUCGGAUUGGAGGCUGCAACUCGCCUCCAUGAAGUCGGAAUCGCUAGUAAUCGCGGAUCAGCACGCCGCGGUGAAUGCGUUCCCGGGCCUUGUACACACCGCCCGUCACACCACGAGAGUUUGUAACACCCGAAGUCGGUGAG
Molecule: ribosomal RNA, 798 nt
Filed under: uncultured bacterium
Lineage: Bacteria
Description: bacterial SSU rRNA
Rfam family: Bacterial small subunit ribosomal RNA
Source: RNAcentral